UUCAAGAACAUUUGGAUGCAGUGCGAAA
Molecule: small RNA, 28 nt
Filed under: Bombyx mori (domestic silkworm)
Lineage: Eukaryota; Metazoa; Arthropoda; Insecta; Lepidoptera; Bombycidae
Description: piRNA piR-bmo-1334307
Source: RNAcentral